Molecule: ribosomal RNA, 523 nt
Filed under: uncultured haloarchaeon
Lineage: Archaea; Methanobacteriati; Methanobacteriota; Halobacteria; Halobacteriales; Halobacteriaceae
Description: bacterial SSU rRNA
Rfam family: Archaeal small subunit ribosomal RNA
Source: RNAcentral
AUUCCGGUUGAUCCUGCCGGAGACAUUGCUAUUGGGAUUCGAUUUAGCCAUGCUAGUCGAUCGAGUUCAGACUCGCGGCGAAUAGCUCAGUAACACGUGGCCAAGCUCCCCUUCAGUCAGCGAUACCCUCGGGAAACUGAGGUUAACAGCUGAUACAAAACGCCAGCUGGAAUGCGGCGUUUCAGAAAGACAUCGCUGAAGGAUGCGGCUGCGGCCGAUUAGGUAGACGGUGGGGUAACGGCCCACCGUGCCAGUAAUCGGUACGGGUGAUGAGAGUCAGAGCCCGGAGACGGAAUCUGAGACAAGAUUCCGGGCCCUACGGGGCGCAGCAGGCGCGAAACCUUUACACUGCACGGAAGUGCGAUAGGGGAAUCCCAAGUGCGAGGGCAUAUUAGCCCUCGCUUUUCUCGACUGUAAGGUGGUCGACGAAUAAGAUCUGGCCAAGACCGGUGCCAGCCGCCGCGGUAAUACCGGCAGCUCAAGUGAUGCUCCAUACUAUAUUAGGCCUAAAAUUUCGGUUUCU